Molecule: long non-coding RNA, 2450 nt
Organism: Musca domestica (house fly)
Lineage: Eukaryota; Metazoa; Arthropoda; Insecta; Diptera; Muscidae
Exons: 2
Source: RefSeq, a predicted model, not a curated record
ACUGUUCAGUUUAAUUCUUUAAAACAAAUUGUUUGCAUACUUGUUUUAUUAAUCAAAGAAUAAAGGAAAAAUAAAUUAAUGUAUUUGCGGGGAUCACUUCUUACCCUUGUUAAGAAGCGCCGUUCCAUUCAUGGUGAAUAGGAGAGAUGAAUCAGAAGUCCAAAAUACCUGGAUUCAAACGUGGAACUCCAGUAAAAUCGGUAGGAGAAUGGUUGGAGCUGUUAUAUGGGGGCUAUGCUAAGACGGGAGCCUAUAUAGACAAUUUUAUCCAACGAUUGUAAUCUAUCGCGAGCCUGAAAUAUCAUAAUUUUUAGACAAACGCGUAGAAAAAUGCGGUUAAAACCAUCAAAAUGACGAAUAUCGGGGGGUACCGGUAUACAGGGCCAUACGAAAACGUGCUGCUAUCCAUCGGAGCUAGAACCCACACAACAACCUACAUAUACCAAUUUGUAGACAAAUCCAAUGGAAAGUGUGGAUAAAACCAUUAAAAUACCGAAAGUCGGGAUGUACCUUCAUAUGGGGGCUUGAAACGUGCUGAUUUCAUCACGUACAUUUAUACAAACAAUGAGAACAACAACAGCGGCCACUGCAAGUGCGACGCUAACAGCACCAACCAACCACCAUUACCAUGCACACACGACUCGGUCAUACGCAGUCAACAAGGCGACAACAGCACUAGCCAACAAACGCAGCAUUCAUUGGGCGCGUGGUGAACAAAGUAGUUUUCGGUGGUGUGCUGCUCACAGCGUAAGGCUAAAAAUUCGCAAUGACUUGGUAGAACCGGUCACAUAUAGUGUUCAGUUUGAGGUGCGAUGAGGAAGGCUCGCUACUGCAGGAGCUUGCCAAAGAGUAGCUAGUGAUUUUUCUAAAGAUCAACGGCCGUCCUCCGACUAAUAAAAGCAUUAGUCGGGAAUACUUUUCCAAGACUGGCUCUCAUUAAUUUGAGUGGCUGGUAAUUCAUUUACACAGGAGUCUCGGCUCGCUGUUCCACAGGAACUUCGGUUCGCUGUUCCACAGGAGUUUCGGUUCGCUGUUCCACAGGAGCUUCGGCUCGCUGUUCCACGGAAACUUCGGUUCGCUGUUCUACAGGAGUUUCGGCUCGCUGUUCCACAGGAACAUCGGUUCGUUGUUCCACAGGAGUUUCGGCUCGCUGUUCCACAGGAGUUUCGGCUCGCUGUUCCACAGGAACUUCGGUUCGCUGUUCCGUAUAAUAGUCAAACGUUGGUAGUGGAGUAGACGUAGUUAGAGAAUCGUAGCUAGACUAGUUACCUCGCCCCUGUAGCCGACCCGAAUAAAAAGAACCCGAGCUGCCGAACGAGCCACGAUCCAUCUACACAGCGUAACGCAUCGGUUGCUGAAUCUACCCUCAACGAGCUGCCGAACACGUACGAAUGUCAAUCCGCUCACGAAGACCUGGACAGCUGCUCCCGAUUACCUUCUAAUCGUCAACAACCCUCAUCACACGAACACCAAUAUCGUAAUUCCUGAUCGUCGACAACCGACGACCACAAGUUCCCGAUUACCUUCAAAUCGACAACGACCAUGAGUUCCCGAUUACCGUCAACAGAACGCAUCACCCGAACACAAUCAUCAUAAUUCCUGAUCGUCGACAACCGACGACCACAAGUUCCCGAUUACCUUCUAAUCGUCAACAACCCUCAUCACCUGAACACCAACAUCGUAAUUCCUGAUCGUCGACAACCGACGACCACAAGUUCCCGAUUAGCUUCAAAUCGUCAACGACCAUGAGUUCCCUAUUACCGUCAACAGAACGCAUCACCCGAACACAAUCAUCGUAAUUCCUGAUCGUCGACAACCGACGACCACAAGUUCCCGAUUACCUUCAAAUCGUCAACAACAGUUAUCACCCGAACACAAUCGUCGUAAUUCCCGAUCGUCGACAACCGAAGACUACAAGUUUCCGAUUACCGUCAAAUCGUCAACAGAACGUAUCACCCAAACACAAUCAUCGUAAUUCCUGAUCGUCGACAACCGACGACCACAAGUUCCCGAUUACCUUCAAAUCGUCAACGACCAUAAGUUUCCAAUUACCGUUAAAUCGUCAACAGAACGCAUCACCCGAACACAAUCAUCGUAAUUCCUGAUCGUCGACAACUGACGAACACAAGUUCCCGAUUACCUUCGAAUCGUCAACGUAAGCGUCACCCGAACGCAACACCGUAAUUCCCGUAAUCAACCACCCGAGUAUUCAUUGUGUGCACCCGACGUCAUCGUUCUCGAGUCGUACACCCUCCUGCAUACGAUACGAGUUAGCAUCGAAUCCCCGAUCAUCAACUAAGCACCAGUACCUUGAAAUCACGAACAUCUCCGAAGUCCAUUUGCCAUCCUAUAUUCCAUAUUUAUCUUAUCGUAUUUCAACCCGAGUAGAUUGUAAUUUAGAAUUAAAGAUCAAUAAAACAUCCGAUUUUUACCCCCAGGAAAGGGAGAAA